Molecule: ribosomal RNA, 824 nt
Filed under: uncultured fungus
Lineage: Eukaryota; Fungi
Description: eukaryotic LSU rRNA
Rfam family: 5.8S ribosomal RNA (bases 235-389)
Source: RNAcentral
GGGAAGGAUCAUUAUCGAAAUCGAAAGCCUAGGAGAAAGGGGGGGGGAUGCGGGGCUGUCGCUGGCCUCUUUGGCAUGUGCACGCGUUGGUCCCUCUCCCGCCUUCGAAGCUUUCAACUUCUCAACACCUGUGUGCACCCGCUGUAGGUCCUUCGGGACCUAUGUCUUCUCUUCCGAACUCGCAUGUCUACAGAAUGUGUAUGCGUCGCGUUGGCGACUGCGAAACCUUUGUACAACUUUCAGCAAUGGAUCUCUUGGCUCUCGCAUCGAUGAAGAACGCAGCGAAUCGCGAUAAGUAAUGUGAAUUGCAGAUUUUCCGUGAAUCAUCGAAUCUUUGAACGCACCUUGCGCUCCUUGGUAUUCCGAGGAGCAUGCCUGUUUGAGUGUCAUCGAAAUAUCGGACCGAAUGACUUCGAUGCUGUCGGAGCUCGGUUUCGGAUGUUGGGAGUGGUGCGGGCGGCAACGUCGGCUCUCCUCAAAAGCAUUAGCUGUGGGCGCGAGCCUCGCAUGGCACGGCCGCUUUGACGUCGUAAUGAUCGUCGUGGGCUUGGAAGUGCGUGGGUUGACGUGUCUCCACGCUUCGAAACCUUCUGCGAGUCCGUCCGUCGUCCGGACGGUCGCACGUAUCGAUGCUUGACCUCAAAUCAGGUAGGACUACCCGCUGAACUUAAGCAUAUCAAUAAGCGGAGGAAAAGAAACUAACGAGGAUUCCCCUAGUAACUGCGAGUGAAGCGGGAAAAGCUCAAAUUUCGAAUCUGGCGGUCCUUGGCCGUCCGAGUUGUAAUCUAGAGAAGCGUCUUCCGCGCCGGACCGUGUACAAGUCU